UUGACGGGGCCCGCACAAGCGGUGGAGUAUGUGGUUUAAUUCGAUGCAACGCGAAGAACCUUACCUGGUCUUGACAUCCCGGAGACCCUUAGGAAACUAGGGGGUGCUUCCAUCUGGAAGAAUCUGGAGACAGGUGCUGCAUGGCUGUCGUCAGCUCGUGUCGUGAGAUGUUGGGUUAAGUCCCGCAACGAGCGCAACUCUUGCCUUUAGUUGCCAGCAGUUCGGCUGGGCACUCUAAAGGGACUGCCGGUGUUAAACCGGAGGAAGGUGGGGAUGACGUCAAGUCCUCAUGGCCUUUAUGACCAGGGCUACACACGUACUACAAUGGCCGAUACAAAGGGCAGCGACACUGCGAGGUGAAGCCAAUCCCGUAAAAUCGGUCUCAGUCCGGAUUGGAGUCUGCAACUCGACUCCAUGAAGUUGGAAUCGCUAGUAAUCGUGGAUCAGCAUGCCACGGUGAAUACGUUCCCGGGCCUU
RNAcentral lists this ribosomal RNA (477 nucleotides) under uncultured Desulfobulbus sp. RNAcentral's name for it is "bacterial SSU rRNA". It matches the Rfam family "Bacterial small subunit ribosomal RNA", at positions 910 to 1382 of the family's 1533-position model. The record is from RNAcentral. Lineage: Bacteria; Pseudomonadati; Thermodesulfobacteriota; Desulfobulbia; Desulfobulbales; Desulfobulbaceae.